RNAcentral lists this ribosomal RNA (1172 nucleotides) under uncultured Wolbachia sp. RNAcentral describes it as "bacterial SSU rRNA". It matches the Rfam family "Bacterial small subunit ribosomal RNA", at positions 255 to 1443 of the family's 1533-position model. Lineage: Bacteria; Pseudomonadati; Pseudomonadota; Alphaproteobacteria; Rickettsiales; Anaplasmataceae. The record is from RNAcentral.
GCAGAUUAGCCUACCAAGGCAAUGAUCUAUAGCUGAUCUGAGAGGAUGAUCAGCACCACUGGAACUGAGAUACGGUCCAGACUCCUACGGGAGGCAGCAGUGGGGAAUAUUGGACAAUGGGCGAAAGCCUGAUCCAGCCAUGCCGCAUGAGUGAAGAAGGCCUUUGGGUUGUAAAGCUCUUUUAGUGAGGAAGAUAAUGACGGUACUCACAGAAGAAGUCCUGGCUAACUCCGUGCCAGCAGCCGCGGUAAUACGGAGAGGGCUAGCGUUAUUCGGAAUUAUUGGGCGUAAAGGGCGCGUAGGCGGAUUAGUAAGUUAAAAGUGAAAUCCCAAGGCUCAACCUUGGAAUUGCUUUUAAAACUGCUAAUCUAGAGAUUGAAAGAGGAUAGAGGAAUUCCUAGUGUAGAGGUGAAAUUCGUAAAUAUUAGGAGGAACACCAGUGGCGAAGGCGUCUAUCUGGUUCAAAUCUGACGCUGAGGCGCGAAGGCGUGGGGAGCAAACAGGAUUAGAUACCCUGGUAGUCCACGCUGUAAACGAUGAAUGUUAAAUAUGGGAAGUUUUACUUUCUGUAUUACAGCUAACGCGUUAAACAUUCCGCCUGGGGACUACGGUCGCAAGAUUAAAACUCAAAGGAAUUGACGGGGACCCGCACAAGCGGUGGAGCAUGUGGUUUAAUUCGAUGCAACGCGAAAAACCUUACCACUCCUUGACAUGGAAAUUAUACCUAUUCGAAGGGAUAGGGUCGGUUCGGCCGGGUUUCACACAGGUGUUGCAUGGCUGUCGUCAGCUCGUGUCGUGAGAUGUUGGGUUAAGUCCCGCAACGAGCGCAACCCUCAUCCUUAGUUACCACCAGGUAAUGCUGGGGACUUUAAGGAAACUGCCAGUGAUAAACUGGAGGAAGGUGGGGAUGAUGUCAAGUCAUCAUGGCCCUUAUGGAGUGGGCUACACACGUGCUACAAUGGUGGCUACAAUGGGCUGCAAAGUCGCGAGGCUAAGCUAAUCCCUUAAAAGCCAUCUCAGUUCGGAUUGUACUCUGCAACUCGAGUGCAUGAAGUUGGAAUCGCUAGUAAUCGUGGAUCAGCACGCCACGGUGAAUACGUUCUCGGGUCUUGUACACACUGCCCGUCAGGCCAUGGGAAUUGGUUUCACUCGAAGCUAACGACCUAACCGCA